UACAGAGGUCUCGAGCGUUAGGCGGAAUCACUGGGCUUAAAGCGUGUGUAGGCGGAUCGUUAAGUACCUUGUGAAAUCCCACGGCUUAACCGUGGAACUGCUUGGUAUACUGGCGGUCUUGAGCCAGCUAGGGGCUACCGGAACAAAUGGUGGAGCGGUGAAAUGCGUAGAUAUCAUUUGGAACGCCCAAUGGUGAAAACAGGUAGCUGGGGCUGUGCUGACGCUGAGACACGAAAGCCAGGGGAGCAAACGGG
RNAcentral lists this ribosomal RNA (254 nucleotides) under uncultured bacterium. RNAcentral describes it as "partial 16S ribosomal RNA". It matches the Rfam family "Bacterial small subunit ribosomal RNA", at positions 524 to 776 of the family's 1533-position model. The record is from RNAcentral.